UUCAAUUCAGUGUUAAUUUCGUUAACGAAAAAUAUGACGAAAAAUGUUUGUCAACAACCUUUUUUCCGUGACUAAGACGAGACGUUGACGAGCUAAAAAUAGAUCUUUACUAGGGCUGUCACUUUUUAUUCGAAGUUCGAAUAUUCGUUCGAAGGUGGGGUGAAAAGUUCGAAUUCGAAGUGUAAUUCUCCAUUCGAACUGUGUGUGCUGCCGUCUCAUAAGAACUUCAGACCAUUUUAAGUAGUCUGCUUUCGAUCCAGCAGAGGGCGCGCUGAAAUUUUAUAUCAGUUUGACCUGUUGCCGACCCUCUUGGCCUGGCUAUCUGUAUCGAAUGUUGAAUCAACAUUCGAUACAGAUAGGCCAAGAGGGCUUUGAAACAAAACGUAACUGAAGAGAACGCGAACCGAGAUACGGCUAUUAAAAAACUGCUAUUAAAAAUGGAGAAUUGCGAGGAGUACAAUGCUGAGCGGACCAUAACGACACCAUCACAUUUAAAAAGCAGCGUAUGGAAGCAUUUUGGCUUUUACACCGUGGGUGGAAAAGUCACAAACAAAGACAAGGCCGUUUGUCGUCUUUGUAAAAGAGAGCUGUCGUACUUAUCGACAACAUCAAAUGUGCGCACUCAUCUGCUAGCUUACCACCGAAAUGUAGCAGCAGAGGAACAACUGCCGAGCGGAGCAGCACAGAGCACAGAGUGUACAGCCGCGCGUGACAGCAUUCUAUUCGGCUCACUCAGCAGGCCCCUUACCUUGACGCCCCUUCCUCUUGUUGUGUUUACAAAUGUGUUAUCAAAGAUGUGUUUUUAUCCUGUGCUGUUAUGAAUUCAGUAGGUAUACGUGAUUUCCACAAGAAAU
Molecule: long non-coding RNA, 854 nt
Organism: Gadus macrocephalus (Pacific cod)
Lineage: Eukaryota; Metazoa; Chordata; Actinopteri; Gadiformes; Gadidae
Exons: 3
Source: RefSeq, a predicted model, not a curated record